RNAcentral lists this ribosomal RNA (202 nucleotides) under uncultured microorganism. RNAcentral's name for it is "partial 16S ribosomal RNA". It matches the Rfam family "Archaeal small subunit ribosomal RNA", at positions 330 to 529 of the family's 1478-position model. The record is from RNAcentral.
GUGCAGCAGGCGAGAAUACUUUACAAUGUGCGAAAGCACGAUAAGGGAACUCUGAGUGCCUCCUAAGGGAGGCUGGUUCAGGUGUCUAAAAAGCACCUGAAGGAAGGGCUGGGGUAAGACCGGUGCCAGCCGCCGCGGUAACACCCGGCAGCCCGAAGUCGGUAGGCCACGUUUAUUGGGGUCUAAAGCGUCCGUAGCCGGC